CGUACUUAUUUGUAUUGCCAUA
RNAcentral lists this microRNA (22 nucleotides) under Petromyzon marinus (sea lamprey). Its description in RNAcentral is "pma-miR-1c-5p". Its record names the gene pma-miR-1c-5p. Lineage: Eukaryota; Metazoa; Chordata; Hyperoartia; Petromyzontiformes; Petromyzontidae. The record is from miRBase by way of RNAcentral.